Small nucleolar RNA from Mustela putorius furo (domestic ferret), 134 nucleotides. The record is from Ensembl. NCBI's taxonomy places the organism in Eukaryota, Metazoa, Chordata, Mammalia, Carnivora, Mustelidae.
AAGGUAGAAAAUCUUUUUGUCUGCUUACCUGAAUGUGUUUCUGCAGAAAUUUAGAAAAUGCUGGCAAUAGUAAUGCCAUGUUAUGACCCUUAAAGACAUUGAAGUCCUUAAGGUCCCUGAAAGUGGCUAUAGGA